Acanthosepion pharaonis is the source of this 112-nucleotide non-coding RNA. NCBI's taxonomy places the organism in Eukaryota, Metazoa, Mollusca, Cephalopoda, Sepiida, Sepiidae. The record is from the annotation of a GenBank genome assembly.
ACAGCCACAUCAUGUUGAAACACCGGUUCCCAUACGAUUAAUGAAGUUAAGCAACAUUGAGACUAGUCAGUACCUAGAUGGGUGACUGUUUGGGAAUACCAGGUGCUGUAAG